CCUACGGGUGGCAGCAGUGGGGAAUAUUCGGCAAUGGGCGCAAGCCUGACCCAGCAACGCCGCGUGAGCGAAGAAGUAUUUCGGUAUGUAAAGCUCUAUCAGCAGGGAAGAAAAUGACGGUACCUGAGUAAGAAGCUUCGGCUAAAUACGUGCAAGCAGCCGCGGUAAUACGUAUGGGGCAAGCGUUAGCCGGUUUUACUGGGCGUAAAGGGAGCGUAGGCGGUCUGCCAAGUCUGAUGUGAAAGCCCGGGGCUCAACCCCAGGAGUGCAUUUGAAACUGGCCGGCUGGAGUGCCGGAGAGGCAGGCGGAAGUCCUAGUGUAGCGGUGAAAUGCGUAGAUAUUAGGAGGAACACCAGUGGCGAAGGCGGCCUGCUGGACGGUGACUGACGCUGAGGCUCGAAAGCGUGGGGAGCAAACAGGAUUAGAUACCCCGGUAGUC
RNAcentral lists this ribosomal RNA (440 nucleotides) under uncultured bacterium. Its description in RNAcentral is "partial 16S ribosomal RNA". It matches the Rfam family "Bacterial small subunit ribosomal RNA", at positions 338 to 795 of the family's 1533-position model. The record is from RNAcentral.